CAUUUGGAACGAAUGCUAAUACCGCAUAAAAAACUUUAAAACGACAAGUUUAAGUUUGAAAGAUGCAAUUGCAUCACUCAAAGAUGAUCCCGCGUUGUAUUAGCUAGUUGGUGAGGUAAAGGCUCACCAAGGCGAUGAUACAUAGCCGACCUGAGAGGGUGAUCGGCCACAUUGGGACUGAGACACGGCCCAAACUCCUACGGGAGGCAGCAGUAGGGAAUCUUCGGCAAUGGACGAAAGUCUGACCGAGCAACGCCGCGUGAGUGAAGAAGGUUUUCGGAUCGUAAAACUCUGUUGGUAGAGAAGAACGUUGGUGAGAGUGGAAAGCUCAUCAAGUGACGGUAACUACCCAGAAAGGGACGGCUAACUACGUG
Molecule: ribosomal RNA, 374 nt
Filed under: uncultured bacterium
Lineage: Bacteria
Description: bacterial SSU rRNA
Rfam family: Bacterial small subunit ribosomal RNA
Source: RNAcentral